RNAcentral lists this ribosomal RNA (253 nucleotides) under uncultured bacterium. RNAcentral describes it as "partial 16S ribosomal RNA". It matches the Rfam family "Bacterial small subunit ribosomal RNA", at positions 524 to 776 of the family's 1533-position model. The record is from RNAcentral.
UACGUAGGGACCAAGCGUUGUCCGGAAUCAUUGGGCGUAAAGAGCGUGUAGGCGGCUUGUUAAGUCUUGCGUGAAAUCUCGGGGCUCAACCCCGAGCGGUCGUGAGAAACUGGCAGACUAGAGUGCGGGAGAGGAGAGUGGAAUUCCUGGUGUAGCGGUGAAAUGCGCAGAUAUCAGGAAGAACACCCGUGGCGAAGGCGGCUCUCUGGAACGCAACUGACGCUGAGACGCGAAAGCGUGGGGAGCAAACAGG